Molecule: non-coding RNA, 548 nt
Organism: Solanum lycopersicum (tomato)
Lineage: Eukaryota; Viridiplantae; Streptophyta; Magnoliopsida; Solanales; Solanaceae
Source: RefSeq, a predicted model, not a curated record
GAGAAAAAUUGUCCAUUAGCUCCAUUUUCCUUCCAAUGAAGUUGAAGAGUUCAACAAAGUUAUUUGAUUCUACUAAGUAAGCACUAUCAUACAAAUGCUUAAUUCUGUUGUUGACAAUGUGAAAAAGGCAAAAAUGGCUGAAACCUUAUUUGUUCAGGCUAAGAUCAGGUAUGAAAAUCCUGUAUACGUGAGUAUUGCUAUUGAAAAUAAAUUGAAGUUAGAAAUUAAGGAAACUAUGAAGGAGAUUGAUUUAGUGAAGAAAACAACCACUUAUUUCAAUGAACUGCGUGAAAGACCAUUCUGGCCCAAGAAUAAUGAAGAAAAGUGGCACACAAAGCUUUCAAGGGCACAAGUCUGACUCGACUUUGGAAGAAGCUACGAGCAUUACUGAGAAACUUGCCAUUCUAGAUGUGAAAAAAAAUCAGGUCAUGUCGUAUUAUAAAUGUUUAUAUUCUAAAUCAAAUUACUUCUAAGGCGAUUUUAGAUUAUUUUCUUGAAGGAAACUCUAUAUCAAUCCGUAUGAAUCUUAAUUUGUUUUAAAUUUUAAA